This 305-nucleotide ribosomal RNA is filed under the name uncultured bacterium. Its description in RNAcentral is "bacterial SSU rRNA". It matches the Rfam family "Bacterial small subunit ribosomal RNA", at positions 338 to 635 of the family's 1533-position model. The record is from RNAcentral.
CCUACGGGACGCAGCAGUAGGGAAUCUUCCACAAUGGACGAAAGUCUGAUGGAGCAACGCCGCGUGAGUGAAGAAGGGUUUCGGCUCGUAAAGCUCUGUUGGUAGUGAAGAAAGAUAGAGGUAGUAACUGGCCUUUAUUUGACGGUAAUUACUUAGAAAGUCACGGCUAACUACGUGCCAGCAGCCGCGGUAAUACGUAGGUGGCAAGCGUUGUUCGGAUUUAUUGGGUGUAAAGGGUGCGUAGACGGGAGUCUAAGUUAGUUGUGAAAUCCCUCGGCUCAAAUGAGGAACUGCAACUAAAACUG